Long non-coding RNA from Eptesicus fuscus (big brown bat), 433 nucleotides. RefSeq lists it as uncharacterized. The record is from RefSeq and is a predicted model, not a curated record. Lineage: Eukaryota; Metazoa; Chordata; Mammalia; Chiroptera; Vespertilionidae. The transcript is spliced from 2 exons.
AACAGCUAGAGAAAAGACAUAGUAUCUACCACUACUGAUGAGUUCUUUGAUGUGCCUGGUAAGAGAUACAGCACAGAGUAAACAACAGCCUCCCCACCUGCUGAAAUGUUCCUUCCCGGCUCUUCUUGUCUUUUGGGUCUGAGUUCAAAUGCUACUUCCAUAGAGGUGCCUAUUCCGACCACUUUUCCUCUCUACAGCAUCAAGCAUGCAGACAAAUGUUUUGCAGGCUAAGUAAAAUAGUUCAAGCUAAGGAACCGACGAUAACAUCUUUGUAAUCAAGAAAACAGAUAUAUACAUCUCCAGCCAGAUUUCUUCAGCUGUGACUUCCAACAGAAGCUCAGUGACAAACUGCUUACCACCUAGGAACCGGAUGAUGCCCUCUAAAGGUUGAAUAUGAAAAGGCUUGUUCAAUAAACAUUCAAUAUUCAAUAUU